Molecule: ribosomal RNA, 218 nt
Filed under: Campeiostachys nutans
Lineage: Eukaryota; Viridiplantae; Streptophyta; Magnoliopsida; Poales; Poaceae
Description: Elymus nutans partial small subunit ribosomal RNA
Rfam family: Eukaryotic small subunit ribosomal RNA (bases 47-218)
Source: RNAcentral
GGGUCUACCCAUUGGUCAGGCUUAAUUGUCUGUACUGGUGAGAUGGAUCUCUACCUUCUGAGGAACUUUCAUGCCAUUUAUUUGGUGCGGUUGGAAAUCAGGACUGUUACUUUGAAAAAAUUAGAGUGUUUAAAGCAGACUAUCGUCUGAAUACAUUAGCAUGGAAUAAUGAAAUAGGACGGACUGAUUCUAUUUCGUUGGUUUCUAGAGUCGCCGCA